ACCUUUGUUCCCGUUAAUGGUUUAUUUCAACGUUUGAAAUAAUUAAAAGGGAAGCCGGUGUAAAUCCGGAACAGUUCCCGCUGCUGUAAGCUCAUCAUUACGUUAUAUUUCAUUUAGCCACUGAAUUUAUUUGGGAAGGCGGAUAUAACAGAGUAAGUCAGAAGACCUGCCACUAACACACUAUUCGA
This 188-nucleotide non-coding RNA is filed under the name Cytophaga hutchinsonii. The record is from RNAcentral. RNAcentral also lists the same sequence under 1 other name. Lineage: Bacteria; Pseudomonadati; Bacteroidota; Cytophagia; Cytophagales; Cytophagaceae.